CUACGGGGGGCUGCAGUGGGGAAUAUUGCACAAUGGGCGCAAGCCUGAUGCAGCCAUGCCGCGUGUAUGAAGAAGGCCUUCGGGUUGUAAAGUACUUUCAGCGGGGAGGAAGGGAGUAAAGUUAAUACCUUUGCUCAUUGACGUUACCCGCAGAAGAAGCACCGGCGAACUCCGUGCCAGCAGCCGCGGUAAUACGGAGGGUGCAAGCGUUAAUCGGAAUUACUGGGCGUAAAGCGCACGCAGGCGGUUUGUUAAGUCAGAUGUGAAAUCCCCGGGCUCAACCUGGGAACUGCAUCUGAUACUGGCAAGCGUGAGUCUCGUAGAGGGGGGUAGAAUUCCAGGUGUAGCGGUGAAAUGCGUAGAGAUCUGGAGGAAUACCGGUGGCGAAGGCGGCCCCCUGGACGAAGACUGACGCUCAGGUGCGAAAGCGUGGGGAGCAAACAGGAUUAGAUACCCCCGUAGUC
RNAcentral lists this ribosomal RNA (464 nucleotides) under uncultured bacterium. RNAcentral describes it as "partial 16S ribosomal RNA". It matches the Rfam family "Bacterial small subunit ribosomal RNA", at positions 339 to 795 of the family's 1533-position model. The record is from RNAcentral.